GGGGAUGUAGCUCAGUGGUAAAGUGCUUGCUUAGCAUGCAUGAGGCCCUGAGUUCAAUCCCCAGCACCCA
RNAcentral lists this transfer RNA (70 nucleotides) under Ictidomys tridecemlineatus (thirteen-lined ground squirrel). RNAcentral describes it as "Spermophilus tridecemlineatus (thirteen-lined ground squirrel) tRNA". It matches the Rfam family "tRNA". Rfam says of the family: Transfer RNA (tRNA) molecules are approximately 80 nucleotides in length. Their secondary structure includes four short double-helical elements and three loops (D, anti-codon, and T loops). Further hydrogen bonds mediate the characteristic L-shaped molecular structure. tRNAs have two regions of fundamental functional importance: the anti-codon, which is responsible for specific mRNA codon recognition, and the 3' end, to which the tRNAs corresponding amino acid is attached (by aminoacyl-tRNA synthetases). tRNAs cope with the degeneracy of the genetic code in two manners: having more than one tRNA (with a specific anti-codon) for a particular amino acid; and 'wobble' base-pairing, i.e. permitting non-standard base-pairing at the 3rd anti-codon position. The record is from Rfam by way of RNAcentral. Lineage: Eukaryota; Metazoa; Chordata; Mammalia; Rodentia; Sciuridae.